Pezoporus occidentalis (night parrot) is the source of this 751-nucleotide long non-coding RNA. RefSeq lists it as uncharacterized. The transcript is spliced from 3 exons. The record is from RefSeq and is a predicted model, not a curated record. NCBI's taxonomy places the organism in Eukaryota, Metazoa, Chordata, Aves, Psittaciformes, Psittacidae.
UCUGUGUCCAAAACUUCUUGUUUUAAUUUCUUUUAGGUACAUCUUUGUAAUUGACUUUAUGGAGACAUGUAUGUUAAGGCCGUGCAUCUGAUUAAAUUCCCAAAAGUAAAAUAGGAGAUCCUAAUACUAUCCAUACUCUUGCAACUGUUAUCCUAAUCUCUCAAGAACACCUAAGGACACUAAGGCUAUGAAGAAACAGAGAAUGACAACUGAAGUUCCAUUAGAAGCUAGAAAGAAUUUGCAGCAUGCUUUAAAACUUACUGGCAAAAGACCUUUCGAAGAAUAGGCAGAGGAAUACUUCUGUUUACCACCUACAGUGAGGUACGUGACACUUAAGUCUUUCAGACUUAAUCAUUUCUUAUAAUUUAGAACAGCUGAGAUCUUUCUAUCUAAAGAAAUUUUAUACUGAACUUUCUCUUCAGUUUAUGUUACUUAGAGUCUAUAUAAUUCAAGGACAUAGUUUCAAGGUUAUGUCUUUGCAUCUGGGAGUUUAAAUUCCAUGUAAUUUAUUUAUUAGGCAGGCAUUUAAGUCCCUUUUCAAGCUGUGGUAUCUUACCUGUUUUGGGGUGACUGCACAGUUUUAAAUGUGCUGUAUUUAUUUGCUCAGUCAAACAAGAAGUCUGUGAAUAGAGCUGUAUUUAAGUGCAGUUUCAGCCAAACUGCCUGUUAUUCUGCUAGUGACAUAUAUUAAUAGUCCUAUCUAUCAUCUGACUGUAACUUCCCAUCCACUACUGAUGGUGUAUAGAUUAUU